UACACCUCAACUCGGGUAGGACUACGCCCUGAACUUAAGCAUAUCAAUAAGGGCAGGAAAAGAAACUAACAAGGAUUC
This 78-nucleotide ribosomal RNA is filed under the name Tulasnellaceae sp. Pv-QS-0-1. RNAcentral describes it as "partial 28S ribosomal RNA". It matches the Rfam family "Eukaryotic large subunit ribosomal RNA", at positions 1 to 77 of the family's 3401-position model. Lineage: Eukaryota; Fungi; Basidiomycota; Agaricomycetes; Cantharellales; Tulasnellaceae. The record is from RNAcentral.